AGAGUUUGAUCCUGGCUCAGAACGAACGCUGGCGGCGUGCUUAACACAUGCAAGUCGAGUGCGCGGUUGUAGCAAUACAACUGGCGCACGGCGCACGGGUGCGUAACACGUGGGCAAUCUGCCCUUCGAUGGGGAAUAACUCCGGGAAACCGAAGCUAAUUCCGCAUAACAUUCCCUGGACUCCGGUUUGGGGAUUCAAAGCCGUAAGGCGUCGAAGGAGGAGCCCGCGCCCGAUUAGCUAGUUGGCAGGGUAACGGCCUACCAAGGCUAUGAUCGGUAGCUGGUCUGAGAGGAUGGCCAGCCACACUGGAACUGAGACACGGUCCAGACUCCUACGGGAGGCAGCAGUGGGGAAUCUUGCGCAAUGGGCGAAAGCCUGACGCAGCGACGCCGCGUGGGGGAUGAAGCAUCUCGGUGUGUAAACCCCUUUCGACUGGGACGAAUGCCUCGCAAGAGGAGUGACGGUACCAGUAGAAGAAGCCCCGGCUAACUACGUGCCAGCAGCCGCGGUAAGACGUAGGGGGCCAGCGUUGUUCGGAAUUACUGGGUGUAAAGGGUUCGUAGGCGGUGUGGCAAGUCGGGAGUGAAAUCUAUGGGCUUAACCCAUAGGCUGCUUCCGAAACUGCUGUGCUGGAGUGUGGGAGAGGCGCGUGGAAUUGCAGGUGUAGCGGUGAAAUGCGUAGAUAUCUGCAGGAACACCCGUGGCGAAAGCGGCGCGCUGGACCACUACUGACGCUGAGGAACGAAAGCUAGGGGAGCAAACAGGAUUAGAUACCCUGGUAGUCCUAGCCCUAAACGAUCAGGACUUGGGGUGCCGCACGUUCGUGCGUCGUCCCGGAGCUAACGCGUUAAGUCCUGCACCUGGGGAGUACGGUCGCAAGACUGAAACUCAAAGGAAUUGACGGGGCCCGCACAAGCGGUGGAACAUGUGGUUCAAUUCGACGCUACGCGA
Molecule: ribosomal RNA, 952 nt
Filed under: uncultured bacterium
Lineage: Bacteria
Description: bacterial SSU rRNA
Rfam family: Bacterial small subunit ribosomal RNA
Source: RNAcentral